This 499-nucleotide ribosomal RNA is filed under the name uncultured bacterium. RNAcentral describes it as "partial 16S ribosomal RNA". It matches the Rfam family "Bacterial small subunit ribosomal RNA", at positions 355 to 846 of the family's 1533-position model. The record is from RNAcentral.
UGGGGAAUUUUGGACAAUGGGGGAAACCCUGAUCCAGCCAUCCCGCGUGUGCGAUGAAGGCCUUCGGGUUGUAAAGCACUUUUGGCAGGAAAGAAACGUCGCGGGUUAAUACCCCGCGAAACUGACGGUACCUGCAGAAUAAGCACCGGCUAACUACGUGCCAGCAGCCGCGGUAAUACGUAGGGUGCAAGCGUUAAUCGGAAUUACUGGGCGUAAAGCGUGCGCAGGCGGUUCGGAAAGAAAGAUGUGAAAUCCCAGAGCUUAACUUUGGAACUGCAUUUUUAACUACCGGGCUAGAGUGUGUCAGAGGGAGGUGGAAUUCCGCGUGUAGCAGUGAAAUGCGUAGAUAUGCGGAGGAACACCGAUGGGCGAAGGCAGCCUCCUGGGAUAACACUGACGCUCAUGCACGAAAGCGUGGGGAGCAAACAGGAUUAGAUACCCUGGUAGUCCACGCCCUAAACGAUGUCAACUAGCUGUUGGGGCCUUCGGGCCUUGGUAG